Molecule: ribosomal RNA, 497 nt
Filed under: uncultured bacterium
Lineage: Bacteria
Description: partial 16S ribosomal RNA
Rfam family: Bacterial small subunit ribosomal RNA
Source: RNAcentral
GAUGAACGCUGGCGGCGUGCCUAAUACAUGCAAGUCGAGCGAACAGACGAGGAGCUUGCUCCUUUGACGUUAGCGGCGGACGGGUGAGUAACACGUGGGUAACCUACCUAUAAGACUGGGAUAACUUCGGGAAACCGGAGCUAAUACCGGAUAAUAUUUCGAACCGCAUGGUUCGAUAGUGAAAGAUGGCUUUGCUAUCACUUAUAGAUGGACCUGCGCCGUAUUAGCUAGUUGGUAAGGUAACGGCUUACCAAGGCAACGAUACGUAGCCGACCUGAGAGGGUGAACGGCCACACUGGAAGUGAGAGACGGUCCAGACUCCUACGGAAGGCAGCAGUAGGGAAUCGUCCGCGAUGGGCGAAAGCCUGACGGAGCAACGCCGCGUGAGUGAUGAAGGUCUACGGAUCGUAAAACUCUGUUAUUAGGGAAGAACAAACGUGUAAGUAACUGUGCACGUCUUGACGGUACCUAGUCAGAAAGCCACGGCUAACUACGUG